AGAAUAAAAAAUCGAGGCGUCGCUCUUUUUUUAAGGGUGAUCGCGUCGGAAUUGAGCCGUCUUUCAAAUGUUAAUUCAUGUCAAAGUGGCUUAAAAUUCAUCCAUCCGGUACGAUUAAAGCGUAUUUAAGAUCAAUUUUGUUCAAGAACGCGCGAUGACGUACCAUCUCAUGUAGUACGUUUGACCUGGGUCAUCAGGUUCAUUCGUAUACGAUGCUCAAAC
This 222-nucleotide unclassified non-coding RNA is filed under the name uncultured Funneliformis. RNAcentral describes it as "partial internal transcribed spacer 2". Lineage: Eukaryota; Fungi; Glomeromycota; Glomeromycetes; Glomerales; Glomeraceae. The record is from RNAcentral.